GUGAGUGUAGCUCAAUUGGUUAGAGUACCGGAUUGUGGUUCCGGAUGUUGCGAGUUCGAUUCUCGUCACUCACCCCA
Molecule: transfer RNA, 77 nt
Filed under: Synergistes sp.
Lineage: Bacteria; Thermotogati; Synergistota; Synergistia; Synergistales; Synergistaceae
Description: tRNA-His
Rfam family: tRNA
About the family: Transfer RNA (tRNA) molecules are approximately 80 nucleotides in length.
Source: RNAcentral